GAUGAAGAACGCAGCGAAAUGCGAUAAGUAAUGUGAAUUGCAGAAUUCAGUGAAUCAUCGAAUCUUUGAACGCACAUUGCGCCCGCCAGCACUCUGGCGGGCAUGCCUGUUCGAGCGUCAUUUCAACCAUCAAGCCCCCAGGGGCUUGUGCUGGGGCCCUGCGGCUGCCCGCAGGCCCUGAAAACCAGUGGCGGGCUCGCUAGUCACACCGAGCGCAGUAGCACAUCUCGCUCAGGGCGUGCGGCGGGCUCCUGCCGUGAAACCCCCCACUGUAACCCCAAAGGUUGACCUCGGAUCAGGUAGGACUACCCGCUGAACUUAAGCAUAUCAAUAAGCGGAGGA
This 342-nucleotide unclassified non-coding RNA is filed under the name soil metagenome. Its description in RNAcentral is "partial contains 5.8S ribosomal RNA, internal transcribed spacer 2, and large subunit ribosomal RNA". The stretch from base 1 to 120 matches the Rfam family "5.8S ribosomal RNA", at positions 35 to 154 of the family's 154-position model. The record is from RNAcentral.